GAAAUAAUCAAGUAGAACAACAACAACAUAACAAGUAGUAGCUUUUUAUUGCUAUUACUUGUUAUGUUCAUAUCAAGCAAGAGGACAUAAGCUUCCAACUAAUUUUCAUGGGAGAUGGCAUCGGUGCUACAAACCGGAGGAGAUCUGGUUUUGAGCUAUAAUCUGUGUUUUUUCUUGUUUUUCGACUGUGAAGCUCAAUAAAUUUGGCAAUAUUUGGGAGCACAAGCUCCCUACAAUGCAGAUGUAACAAAGGGACCUUAGACAAGACACUUCCUUUCUGAACAUCCAAACCUUCCGGCCUCUUUAAUCUGUAGGGUUUACCUGUUAUCGGCUCAACAUCUACUCUCGGCAUCUGCUUCCAUUUGCGAUGGACAAACCAACCAUACUUGUAGUCG
This 395-nucleotide unclassified non-coding RNA is filed under the name Hevea brasiliensis (rubber tree). Lineage: Eukaryota; Viridiplantae; Streptophyta; Magnoliopsida; Malpighiales; Euphorbiaceae. The record is from RNAcentral.